GGGUAGUCCAGGCUGUAAACGAUGCGGGCUAGGUGUCACCAGAGCUACGAGCUCCGGUGGUGCCGUAGGGAAGCCGUUAAGCCCGCCGCCUGGGAAGUACGGCCGCAAGGCUGAAACUUAAAGGAAUUGGCGGGGGAGCACUACAACGGGUGGAGCCUGCGGUUCAAUUGGAUUCAACGCCGGGAAGCUUACCGGGGGAGACAGCUCGGUGAAGGUCGGGCUGAAGACCCUACCAGAGUAGCUGAGAGGUGGUGCAUGGCCGCCGUCAGUUCGUACUGUGAAGCGUUCUGUUAAGUCAGAUAACGAACGAGACCCUCGCCCCUAGUUGCUAUCGUUCCCUCCGGGGAACGAGCACACUAGGGGGACCGCCGGCGCUAAGCCGGAGGAAGGGGAGGCAACGAUAGGUCCGUAUGCCCCCGAAUCCCCCCGGGNUACACGCGCGCUACAAAGGACGGGACAAUGGGUUCCGACGCCCGAAAGGGCGGAGGGGUAAUCCCGAAAACCGUCCGUAGUUCGGAUCGAGGGGCUGUAACCCGCCUCGUGAAGGU
Molecule: ribosomal RNA, 548 nt
Filed under: uncultured prokaryote
Description: bacterial SSU rRNA
Rfam family: Archaeal small subunit ribosomal RNA
Source: RNAcentral